This is a long non-coding RNA of Ictalurus furcatus (blue catfish), 2301 nucleotides long. RefSeq lists it as uncharacterized. The transcript has 4 exons. NCBI's taxonomy places the organism in Eukaryota, Metazoa, Chordata, Actinopteri, Siluriformes, Ictaluridae. The record is from RefSeq and is a predicted model, not a curated record.
AUUAUAUUAACAUUUUACCAAAAUGAAGCUCGUUUAACUGCAUGUUUAUUCCUUACAUAAAUUAAACGCAAAGCAUGUAGGGGUUCUACAUGCAUAUAGUAUUUGCACAAUCAAUAACCUAUUAGAGUAAUACAUUGUGGUAUAUAAACUGAACUUUGUGUUUGAUGUGUCUACAGUGUCCAAAGCCCGUGGUGGUGGCAGUGCAUGGCGUUUGUGUGGAAGCAGGAGUGGCUCUAAUCACAGCCUGUGAUAUUCGUCUGUGCACACAGGAUGCCUGGUUUCAGGUGAAGUCGUGUGUUCCCUGAUAGUCAAUGAUUGCUGGAGCUCUGGAAAUAGCAGGUGAGAUUGCAGGCCAGAGUCCCGUUGCUGUCCAGGGAACCAAAAUCAACCUCCUCUACUCCUGAGACCACAGUGUAACUGAGAGCCUAGACUACAUGGUAAGAAUCUGCUUAAGACAUGAAUAGCAUUUUUAGCCUCAAGGCUACUUGGAACAUGAACAUGUUGCAGACACAGGAUCUUAUGAAGUCAGCGCAGACAGCCCCGGAAAAGAAGAGCCCGAAAGACGUGCCCUUCUCCAAGCUUUAAAGGAGAAGAUCCAGGGCUGUUGAAGCUGUGGUGGAACUGAGACUUCAUCAUCCACAUAUCUUUAAUUCUUCUUGCUAAGUCUCAGUUUCUUUUUAGUCUUUUUAUUUUUAGACUGGUCAAAAGACUGAUUAGUGGAAGUGAAAUGAUGGAUGAACUUUUAAUUACUUGCUUUAUUAUUUGCAGGUGCUUUGUACAGUAAGACAGGGUAACUAAUACUCAAAAGCUUGUUUUGUGUGUUAACAUGUACAGUAGAUGUACAUAUUUUUUCUGGUCCUGUGUGACUGCAGAAUGUAGUGCAGUUAACACAUUAAAUUUCCUUGGAUGCUCACUUUUAACUCGAGGAGGUCACAGUUUGCCCAGACAUCUUUUUUUAAAUCCGUCAAUCCGUCACCCACGUGUCAUUCUGGGGGACGAAGAGGAGGAAGCUGGACAGAUAAAUUUAUUUAUUUAUCUAUCAUUGCUGUGUUUCCUCAAUCGAGUGCAGAAAGAAGAAAAACAACACAACUGAUUUAAAAUAAAAAUAUAGAAAACAAUCUAAUGUAAGGUUCUGAUCCGGUUUGCUUUCAGCAGGAAGGCUGUCCUCUUUCCUGUUGCUCUUUCUCUUCUAUUAGUCCAUUUGUCCAGUCUGAAUCAGUUUGAUUGUUUGAUUCGUUUCGAGACGAUUCGGAGUCAAAUAAUUUUCUAGUGAGAGUCGCACACUUCCAAAUGAACUAGACUGAGAUGUGUAUUUGAUUCUCACUAGAAAGUGAUUUGACUCUGAAUCAAUUCGAAAUGAAUCAGUCAAACUGAUUCAGACUUGAUAAAAGGACUAUGAGAUGUGAUUAAGAUAUAUAUUCCAAUGUUUUGCUUUACAAUUCUAGUGUGUGUGUGUGUGUGUGUGUGUGUGUUUUUCAGGAGAACGAGAAACUCUGACACGAGUACAUCCUGACCAUUGGUACUGUGUACACAUCAACAUACACACACGUCUCCAUGCUGGACAUCUCAGGAGCUUUCACACACAGUGCUAGGAAUAUCCCGGGACAGAGAAACGCACCUCCUAAGUGAGCGAGUUUAGCGUCAACUGGUGAAAUUUGCUGUAGCGUGAACACUUAGGGUUUGCCAGGUUCACUGUAAUUAGACAUAAAAUGUACAUGAUGUUUAUUUUUCAUACAUUUAGGACUUAAGGUUUUUUUUUUUUUUUUUUUUUUUUUUUUUACCCUUCGAGGAACAGAAAUGAUCUUUUGAGGCAGCUUCUUCAUCACUACCUGCUCCGUUUGACUCAAAAAUGUAACGACCGGUUUCAAAAAGUCACGAUGUCUUAAAUAAUAAAUAAAUGAUCAUUCUAGUUCUCUCACUUUCCUUGUCCUAAUUGUCCUGUAUCUGUUAAGUCCGUUUCAUCUGUGGUCUUUGUCUGUAUGAACACUUGUAGAAAUGACAUGUAGUCCAUAUUUUGAAAUGAUUUUAUUCAUGAUUUUGAAUUUAAGUAAAGAUUCUUUAAUUCUGUAUUUUGUCAUUUAAUUAUCAUUAGAAAUCAGAAGAUCAGAUUAAAGCCACGGCUUCUUUACCUGCUGGAGCUGUAAAACUUUCAAUAAACCAGUCAAUAGAUCAACUGAAUAAAUGUAGAUUUUUAAUUUACUGAUGAGAUGUAUUGAUGGUGUUGAUAGAUUAUUUGAAGAUUUUUUUAUUGAUCUUGAACAAUCAUUCAGUUAAAUAUUUCUUUUUUUAAAUCUCGAUAAA